This 490-nucleotide ribosomal RNA is filed under the name uncultured bacterium. Its description in RNAcentral is "partial 16S ribosomal RNA". It matches the Rfam family "Bacterial small subunit ribosomal RNA", at positions 30 to 507 of the family's 1533-position model. The record is from RNAcentral.
AUUGAACGCUGGCGGCAGGCCUAACACAUGCAAGUCGAACGGUAACAGGAAGCAGCUUGCUGCUUUGCUGACGAGUGGCGGACGGGUGAGUAAUGUCUGGGAAACUGCCUGAUGGAGGGGGAUAACUACUGGAAACGGUAGCUAAUACCGCAUAACGUCGCAAGACCAAAGAGGGGGACCUUCGGGCCUCUUGCCAUCGGAUGUGCCCAGAUGGGAUUAGCUAGUAGGUGGGGUAACGGCUCACCUAGGCGACGAUCCCUAGCUGGUCUGAGAGGAUGACCCGCCACACUGGAACUGAGACACGGUCCAGACUCCUACGGGAGGCAGCAGUGGGGAAUAUUGCACAAUGGGCGCAAGCCUGAUGCAGCCAUGCCGCGUGUAUGAAGAAGGCCUUCGGGUUGUAAAGUACUUUCAGCGGGGAGGAAGGGAGUAAAGUUAAUACCUUUGCUCAUUGACGUUACCCGCAGAAGAAGCACCGGCUAACUCCGUG